RNAcentral lists this long non-coding RNA (457 nucleotides) under Sorghum bicolor (sorghum). Its description in RNAcentral is "long non-coding RNA (SBIC_LNC007615)". The record is from RNAcentral. Lineage: Eukaryota; Viridiplantae; Streptophyta; Magnoliopsida; Poales; Poaceae.
UGGUUGCAUUCAGCUCGUUCCACUAUGCAUGAGGACGUUGUGGUGGUCAUUGUCAUCCACGAUCUUGCAGAUUCAGAAGGAAAUCAUGAGGAAAAAACAAGGUAUGAUACCCAAAGAUUGAUAUACAGAUUAUGCCUGUUUUAACGUACAGUAGUUCUUGCAGUAGGGUGUUCAAGGUGCUGUGACCAGGAAAAAGAAGAGAAGCGGUUCAGGUUGCCCAGAUGCGGCAGAAGAACCAAAUGGAUACAUGUCUGACAGGCAUCCAAGCUAUUGGCUUGAUUGGGAAAAAAAUGUUAAUUGUUAGCUGGUUCCUGAAACUUAGUUAUGUAUAGGUUAAUAUUCAGAAUGUGAACUGUCCCAUGUACUUGUUUUUUUUUAUCGUUUCAGUCUAUUGUAUCUAACCUUAAUGGAAGUGUCCUUUUGAUUCUCUAUAAUUUGGAAAAGUGGUAAUUUCAAA